Dalotia coriaria is the source of this 1304-nucleotide long non-coding RNA. RefSeq lists it as uncharacterized. NCBI's taxonomy places the organism in Eukaryota, Metazoa, Arthropoda, Insecta, Coleoptera, Staphylinidae. The transcript is spliced from 2 exons. The record is from RefSeq and is a predicted model, not a curated record.
CAUUAUCAUGCAUAAUGCAUUCAAAGUCAGACGUUAUGUUAUGUUAGAUUAUGUAUUCACUAAUACGUGUUUAGAAACUAUAUCACGAUGCUCGCCGCAUUCUGAAUCGGAUUGAUGGCAUUAUUAUUAGGUAACAUUUAGUACCUUGUAGAUCGUCUGACGCAUAUAAUUAAGUAAACAUAGAGUAUGUCUAGGUUAAACAACUAAAUUGAUAUGAAUUUCAAUAUUUCCAUGCUGUAAAUGAACUGAUACAAAUUGUUAUUGCCGUGUCGCAACAAAAAGCAACAUGUUUUUGUGUCUCUAUUGUUACACAAUACCACAACUAAAGUAAAAAUCGUGGAUUGCAACGAAAAGAGAAAGCCAGCAAGCAGACAAACACGAAAAGUGUUCCACCAAGAAGAUAAGAACAACCGCCAAACCAGAUGCGCGCCGUUUUUUAUCGCAGCGCGGAUAAGAACAAGUGCGUGCCAAAGUGUGGGAAGAAAAAAGUCAACAAGAAUAAAAAUAAAUGACCACCGAAGCGAAAAUUUCGGGAAUAUUUAUCCUUCUGGAACUUGCUGACUGUGCGCUGGCUCUGUGUGUAACAAAGUUGCGGUGUAUUUUUGGAAAUUUUUGGGUCACUCGGCUAUAACUCUGCAUUUAUGACAAAAAUAUAUUCAAAACUAUGCGCGUUGUUGAUAGAAUCCAUAUCAACAGCCAGUGCAGAUUAUAUAAUUAAUAAAUUUCCACUGGAAGAUUGUUUAUGACCCCGCGCCACGAUUUCUAACCAAAAAAGGCAAUAAAAACAACACGGCGAUGACCGCGCGCACUGAAUGAUGUGUCUAGCUUACCUUAUUAUUGCAGUCGGGACGUCGACGGGUGUAUAAAUAAUUAUCUUCUAUUUAAAAAAAAGGCGAUGACUAUCCAAUUACGCGUGAAGUCCAGCGAUGUCCAGAUGGGCGCCAGUCCACCGCGCAUUCGAAAGACGCCGACGACUGAACGCGAACAACGACGGCGAACGCUACUUUAAUCGGUGCGCCGUCCACGCAUGCACUGGCAUCUUCGCUUGUUUAUCCGUGGUGUGCUUUUUAGUUGAAAUUGAAAUCGCCGCUGAUGAUGGAUAAACAGAAAUUGCGCGAGUGGCGAGCGUGGCCAUUCCACGACCUCGUAAAUCUCAAAUGUAUCGAUACCUCAACCUGCUACUGACACCCCUGCCAGCACCAUCUGAUUAAAAACCUCCAUAGAUGGCGCUGCCUACUCUGAAAUAUAACUUUAUUUCUAAAUUAAUAAACAAAUUAAUAAAAGAUAUAUUUAUUGGAACAAAA